GUGCAGGCACUCGAGUUGGGACUUACAAGACAGCCUUCCUAUUUCUCAGGAAAAUCAGCGCGGGUUUGGGGGAUGCGAAGGGACUCCGGGAGGAGCGGGGCCGAGGGCCGAGAGUGACCCUCGGCGAAAGCGCCCCAGAGCGAUCGUCCGGGUCCGACUCUUCCUCCCUUUUCCCGCAGCAGAUUCCGGUGGGAUCAUGGACAAGAGCGUCAGCUGUGGUUUGGGAGGCCGGAUGGGGCGGGAGAGGCGGGAAGGGACCUGACAGUGGGCCCGCGAUGCCGGGUCCCUUCCUGUGGGUGUCCGCACGUCGCAUGGCCGUCUCGCCGCCGAUGCGGGGCUGAAAGCGCCCCCGCGCCCCGGGUUUUGACCCCGACCCUUCGCAGCGCAGCGCCGGGCCGGGCCGGGAGCGCGCGGUCCCGGCGCGGAGCAAGGACUGCAAUCCCGCUCUGCGCCACACGAGGGCUCCGCCAGGCACCUGCCGGUCACCCGGGCGCUGUCUGCACCGAGCUCUCUUUUCUGCGAUGCUUUGAGUCUCCGAACAAAUCCUAACCGGAGGAGCUGGGCUCCCGGGACGCACAUUUCUGCACUGUUCCUCUGCCGCCUUGAGGUUACUUGGCCGCACUCAGGUCCUUGGCCCGGCGCUUCUUAAACUACCGCGUACACGCGGAUUGCCCUGCCCCGGUUAAAAUGCAGAUCCGGACGCAGCGGGUCUGGGCUGGGGCCUGGGACACGCAUUCCCAGCCAGCCGGGUGAUACCGAAGUUCAACCAGGUUUGGAGUCCAACACUGUGGACAAAGGGGUUGCAAACCCAGGAGGGGCUGUGCCCGGACUCGCAGGAGCGCGAGUGGCCGUCGCCCGGGCAGCCGUGGGCAGGGCCUGGGCGCCCCACCGAGCCCCCGCCAGCCACAUGGGUCCCUUCCACCCACCCCACGGCUGACCUUCACCUUUCCGAAAUAUCUUAGGGAGUCGACCCACAGCGACGUUACGUCCCGGCCCCUGCGUGCCCACUGCACUGGCAGAAUGAUGAGUCCCAUCCGAGGGGGCUGAGGCUCAGGACGAGGAGAAGGCGCUAACUUGUUUUUACCCAGAUGAUCUUUCUGGGGAUGUUUGCCUAGCAGGCGACCUUGGAAGGAACUUCUAGGCGUGUCUCUGCUCGCAGGACAGAAAGGUACCUCCUUCCACAACAGACACUGGCGCUUUGCCAGUGGUCCCUUUAACAGACUGCGGUCUCCUAAGCGCGGGGUUCCUCAGCUGUGACUCGGAUCUGUGUACACACCUCCCACCUGCCGGUCGUAGGGAGGGGAACAGGGCCACCGCCUCCGUCCUGAAGCUCGCUCCCCUUCCGUGCUGUGAGGAUCCGUGCAAUGGUCGCAGCCCGGUUGGCUCACACUCGGAGUGGAACUUGGGACUCUUCAGUUCUUGCCAGCAGGGUUUCUGGGGCGGAAGGAGAGAACUGAGCCCAGGAUCCUGGGAGGCAUUGACCUUGGGCUAGGAAUGAACUACCAAGUCUACCAAGCGGUGUAAGCUUCAGGCUCCACAAAAUCUGCAUCUACCCCAGGCCCAAGCCACAUGGGGUCAUACGACUUGGGAUGAAAGUCUUGCCCAAGGAAAAGGGAGAGAUCCCAACUCUUAGGGCAGAGAAGGUGAGCUGGUCCCAGCACCCGGAAGGAAGCUCCCCCACCGCCAUACCAAGCUCCUAAGGCAGAGAAGCUGAGCCAGUCCCAGUACCUGGAAGGAAGCUCCCCCACCGCCAUCCCAAGGAAAAGGGAGAGUACGUUUGUUUCUCUCUGGCUUGGAUGGUCCCUGGUAUCUAUUUCAACUGAGGGUGGGUCUAUUUCCUCCGUGAUAAAGGCUCACUUACAUCAGGCAGGGGAGGGACCAUGAGCCAUCCCAGUACCUGAACUGUGACACAUUAGCAUUUGUGUGUACACAGGGUCUGCCACUGGUCUGGGGACAUCUUGCAGGAUAAGGGUCUCACAGGAAUCUGAGCCAUGGAAUGCCUGUCGCCAGAUAUCCAGCUCAGUGUCUGGUCCAUGCAGAUAGAAGUUGUCAAUCAGCAUUGCAAUGGGAAAAGGUCUUUUGCCACAAUACUUACCUCAGUCACCUAGAAAAAUACCCCACAUCUCAGAAUUACAAACUUACUCUUGGGGAUCUUGAAAAUUUCUAGGAGUUUGACACUACUUAUUAAAAUACAGAUUCCUUGGGAGAAAAGUUACAAUUGAUUGUAUAUUCACAAUUUUUACAAGAUGAAUAUGUAAGUGCUUCCCACUGUGUGAUAUUUACCAUACAAGUUCCCCCACCUCUCUCCAGCGAGAGAGCCAGGGCCAGGCUGCAGGUUGCAUGUGGUUGGGGAUUUGGGUGGGUGCUGGUUGUACAGGUUCGGUCUUAGGUUGAGAUCCCAAAGGCAGCUUUCCUCCUCUGCUGCUUACCUAGUUCCAAACACAGAAGAUACUGGGACAUAAGCGUUGGGUCACCGUUAGGACAUUUAGAGGAAGACCCAUAGAAGCAGCUUUGAAUCACUAAAAAUAUCAAUGUGGACAAGAUGGAGCUACAGUUAGGAAUGGCUGGGUUUCUUCCUCAGCCUUUCAGGCAGCUGUUUGGUUUCUGCUGCAUGACUGAUGAGUGCUCAUAACAUCUGAGUUGCCACAGUGAGUGUUUUCUGUGGCAGUAGGGGAAGGGACCACCAGAAUUAUUCUGCUGUACGUUAGGCCACAGUCUCUGGGUUUACUGAGGCAGUAUUUCCUACACAUGUUCCCGUGCUUUUAAAUUAUUUAUUUUUUAUUAUUCAGGUAGAUAUUUUUGUACCCCCAGAAGUUCCAUCAGAAGCUGUUUUCCUGGCUUUUCUUCUUUUCCCCCACUGUCCUGGCAUGGAUCCGGGGCAGCAGGGCCAGGCAGUGGCAUAGGUAAUAAGGGGUCCAGAGAGAGGGAAGCUCCCCUUUGUCAUUGUGUGGUCUCCCAUGUCUGUAAAGACAGUGCUAAUUUCCAUCCGUGUUGGGUUAGGAAGCAACAACUGUAAAAAUUCACUUAUAAUAAGCACCCCAAGGAUUAAAUGAAAGAUGUAGUAGUAGUAAUAAGACCCUCUCAAGUUGGAAUUUUCUCAGUAGCCACUAUUUUUUCCUUCUGAACAAUACACAAAUGUAUACUUUAAAAAAAUCUUUACUAAUAUAUUUUAUAUGUGAGUUGUUUGCAGUUACUGUGGAGAAGUAGAGGCUCUUAGUACAAUUCUUGUCACUCAGACAAUUUCAAAUGAUUCCUCAGCUGUUGUCCCUGGGCUACCUAUUAAUUCUAAGUCUCCCAGCUUCUUUUCUGGGUGUACCCAGCCAUCCCCUACACCUCAUCCGAAGUAGAAUAAUGGGAAGCUCUCUGCUUAAAACCCUCAGAGAGCUUCCUAAUGGAUACCUCUGGGUGAGAGCCUAGUCUAGUAACAGGAGAAAGGACCCCGUCUGUUGCUCCUCUGGGUCCUGCUCAUGCUUCAGGCUGGCUCAGUAAGCCCCUCUGAUCCACACCUUCUACAGACCUGUAGCUCCCACGCAGCCAAGCUACUGCCUGAUUCAUGUUUCUGUACAUAUUGCUCUAUUCCUGGAAUAUAUAUCUCUUCUGGGAUCUGCCUGACACACUCUACUUUUUUGGCUCUAAUAUUUAGAUGUUCACUUGAGAAUAAAGAACAAUAUUGUACAGUACUUCGUAUGCUCAGAAUUCAUUUAAACAGUAGCACAUUUUAUUUUAAUCCUUUGUAAAAAGAAAGAAAACAUUUCAAAUAGAGCUGGUAUCACCCAUAUACUCCUUUCCGAUCUUAUCCCCCUGCCUGAGAGAACCACUGCCAUGAGUUUAUAUUUAUUUUAUACUUUUAAUGUUUUAAAUAUUUUUAUUAUGCAUAUAUUCAUAGCAUUGUAUAACAUUUAUUUGCAAGUUUAAAAAUCUGAUGAGCAUGCACCAUGUAUUUGUAACUUUGCAGCUUGUUUCUUUGUUGUAGGCAUACUCUUGGUAUAAUAUAGUACUUUAUUAUACAAAUAAAUAACUCAUC
RNAcentral lists this long non-coding RNA (4024 nucleotides) under Heterocephalus glaber (naked mole-rat). Its description in RNAcentral is "lncRNA (ENSHGLG00000044037.1)". Lineage: Eukaryota; Metazoa; Chordata; Mammalia; Rodentia; Bathyergidae. The record is from RNAcentral.